AACGAACGCUGGCGGCAGGCUUAACACAUGCAAGUCGAGCGCCCCGCAAGGGGAGCGGCAGACGGGUGAGUAGCGCGUGGGAACGUACCCUCUGGUUCGGAACAACUCCGGGAAUCUGGAGCCAAUACCGGAUAAGCCCUAACGGGGAAAGAUUUAUCGCCCAAAGAUCGGCGCGCGUCAGAUUAGCUGGUUGGUGAGGUAACGGCACACCAAGGCGACGAUCAGUAGCUGGUCUGAGAGGAUGAUCAGCCACACUGGGACUGAGACACGGACUAGACUCCUACGGAAGGGAGGAGUAGGGAAUAUUGGACAAUGGGGGCAAGCCUGAUAAAGCCAUGCCGGGUGAGUGAUGAAGGCCGUAGGGUUGUAAAGCUCUUUUGUCCGAGAAGAUAGUGACUGUACCGGAAGAAUAAGCCCCGGCUAACUUCGUG
Molecule: ribosomal RNA, 431 nt
Filed under: uncultured bacterium
Lineage: Bacteria
Description: partial 16S ribosomal RNA
Rfam family: Bacterial small subunit ribosomal RNA
Source: RNAcentral